CCUUACUCUGGAACAAACUGAGCAUGCUCGGUUGCCAAAGUAACCAGAGGAAGUGGUAGUUUGACCCUAAGAGGGCGUGAUUAUUAGGAAGCUGCGUGAUUGACCCUUUCCCUCCAGUGUGAACAGAAAACAGAGUAUUGGAAGGCACUCUGCAGCUACUGAAACUAUUGUUUCAGAGAAAGACAUAUUGGAAUUCAAAGAGAGGGGCAAUGCACUUCAAGCAAGGCAGAGAAUACUUGAUCAAAAUGAGAACAAACUACUCCCUUCCCAACAAGAAUUAAAACCACAGCUUUUGAAGAAAGAGAUACCACCAAUUGGCCAGGUAUAACAGAAAAGCCUUACCGUCAUCUCACAGCGCCCCUUGGUGUUCAUUCGCGAUCAAAAUAUCAUCAACGUAUAAAACAAGGACUGAACCCCGUUCUGGGGUGAACCCCUCGAGAUCAUCCCGCAGACACUGGCUAAACACUCCGGGACUAUCGCAAUAUCCCUGAGGAAUUCGGGUCCAAACGAAGGAGCGCUGGUCCCAUUCGAACCCGAACAAAUGCUGCGAAUCUGGGUGGAGAGGAAUGCUAAAAAAGGCAUUUUUUAGAUCAAUAACGGUGAACCACUUCGCGUCCCACGGAAUCUGGCUGAUGAUUGUUACUGGAUCUGGAACAACCAUGUGUAAAGGGAUCACAUACCUGUUCACCGCUCUCAAGUCUUGACAAAAUCUCCACCGAACUGGGUCUCCGGGUUUCUUUGGGGGCUUUUUUAUAGGUAGAAUAGGUGUAUUACAGGGGGUUCGCUGCGGCCGGAUGACUCCUUUUGCAAUAAAACCUUCGAUUAUGGGACGUAUGCCUUCUCUUGCUUCCAAUGAUAGCGGGUACUGAGCAACUCUGGGUGGGGGAAGAAAAGGCUUUACCUGGAUUCUCACGGGGCUUACUGAUCGCAGCAAUCCCACGUCUGUGUCUUCUGUACCCCACAGAUCCGGUGGUAGAUCAGCAAGAUCUUCUGGUAGACUGUGUCCUGAGUGUUUAUGUUUAACUGCAGUUCCCACUGGAACCCCCAAUACACUCAUCAGUAAACCCACCCCAUCAGGGGUGCAGGUUAAGGUAGCCUCCAGUUUACAUAACAUGUCACGGCCCAUGAGGGAAAUGGGACAUGAGGCGGAAUAAAGA
This is a long non-coding RNA of Rhineura floridana, 1157 nucleotides long. RefSeq lists it as uncharacterized. The record is from RefSeq and is a predicted model, not a curated record. NCBI's taxonomy places the organism in Eukaryota, Metazoa, Chordata, Lepidosauria, Squamata, Rhineuridae. The transcript is spliced from 3 exons.